Molecule: ribosomal RNA, 3135 nt
Filed under: Durio zibethinus
Lineage: Eukaryota; Viridiplantae; Streptophyta; Magnoliopsida; Malvales; Malvaceae
Description: eukaryotic LSU rRNA
Rfam family: Eukaryotic large subunit ribosomal RNA (bases 475-3135)
Source: RNAcentral
ACUGAUGUAUUCAAUGAGUCUAUAGCCUAGGUUGACAGGCCCGAGUAAUCUUUGAAAUUUCAUUGUGAUGGGGAUAGAUCAUUGUAAUUAUUGGUCUUCAAUGAGGAAUUCUUAGUAAGUGCAAGUCAUGAGCUCACAUUGAGUAUGUCCCAGCCCUUUGUACACAUUGCUCACUAUUCUUACUAAUUGAAUGGUCUAGUGAAGUGUUCGGAUCAUGGUGACAGGAUGAUUCACUGCUUGUGACAUUGUGAGAAGUUCACUAAACCUUAUCAUUUAGAGGAAGGAGAAGUUGUAAUAAGGUUUUUAUAGGUGAACUUGUGGAAGGAUCAUUUUCGAAACCCGCUCAACGAAUGACUUACAAAUGCAUUAACAGAAUACCGAGGGGGUAAGGGUGCUUUUGUACCUCGAGCCCCUUCUACCACGGGCGUAUGUGAUAGUCAUUUUAUUCCAUCUCUCAAGUAGGCAAAAUGAUCAGUAUCAUCAACCACAGUUGAAUAACCCUUGGUGCGAAUUAUGCCAAGGAAAUAGAAUGAAAAAAAGCACAUGUGCCAUCCCUAUCCCGUUCAUAAUUAUGCACGAGCAACAUGUGUGCAAGUCAACAAGCUAGAAAACCUAUAAGGCACAAAAAAGUUGAUUGGUAGGAUCCCUCACUAGUGCACCACUGAUUGACCUUGAUUGUUUGAGAGUGGUUCUAGUGUGAGCACGCUUGUCAGGACUUGAAAAAUGGUGAACUACACCUGAGUAGGGCGAAGCCAAAGGAAACUCUGAUGGAGGCCCAUAACAAUACUGAUGUGCAAAUUAUUUGUUUUACUUGGGUAUAGGGGUGGGAGACUAAUCAAAACAUCUAGUAGCUAGUUCUUUUCGAUGUUUCCCUUAGGAUAGUUGGAUCCCUUAGUGAGUUCUAUCAGGUAAAGCCAAUGAUUAGAGGCAUUAAGGGUGCAAUGCCUUUGACCUAUAUUCAAACAUUAAAUAGGUAGGAUGGUGCAGUUGCUUCGUUGAGCCACAUCAGGGAAUCUAAAGUUCUAGUGGGCCAUUUUUGGUAAGCAAAACUAGCGAUAUGGGAUGAAUCAGAAGUCAGGUUACAGUGCCCAAUUACACAUUAACCUAGAACCCACAAAAGGUGUUGGUCGAUUAAGAUAGCAAGAUGAAAGUCAUGGAAGUCAAAAUCCACUAAGGAGAGUGUAACAACUCACCUACCAAUUCAACUAGCUCAAAAAUGGAUGGCACUUAAGUGCACAACCUAUACUUGGCAUCGGGGCAAGGACCAGGCCUUGAUAAGUAAAAGAGCAUGACAAUCACUACAAAAUGGGUGGAAUGGCUAUUAGUGUAGAUCUUGGUGGUAGUAGUAAAUAUUCAAAUAAGAACUUUGAAGGUCGAAAAGGGGAAAGGUUCCAUGUGAAUGGCACUUGCACAUGGGUUAGUCGAUCUUAUGAGAUGGGGAAAGCCCAUUCGACAGUGAGUCCAGAGUGGGCUUAAAAAAAAAAUUAGGUUAAAAUUUUUAAAUCGGGACACAAUGGCUGAUGGCAACUUAAAGAGUCUAGAGAUGUUAAUGGGGGUGUUAAGAAGAGAUAUAAUUUCUGUUUAACAGCCUACCCAUCCUGGCAAUGGUUCAACCAGAGGUAAGGUCUAAUGACUAAAAGAGCACUACACAUUGCAUGGUGUUCAGUGCACUAUUGACAGCUUUUGAAAAUCUUGGUUGUACUUAUAGUCGCAUUUGGUCUCCAAGGUGAACAACUUCUGGUCGAUGGAACAAUGUAGGCAAAGAAGGUCGAUAAAAUAGAUCAGUAACCUCAAGAAAAAGAUUGGCUCUGAGGGCUGGGCAUCAGGGUCCUUGUCUCAAACCCAUCGACUAUUGGUGUAUUGCUUGAGCUACUCCCAUGAUGAGAACAAGUCACCGCGUGUUGGUUAGGAGAUGGACUGGGAAUGGCUCUCUUAAGGGCCUUUUGUCGAAUGAUGAACAGUCGACUUAGAAUUGAUAAAGAUAAGGGGAAUCUGACUAUUUAAUUAAAACAAAGCAUUGCGAUGGUCCAUGUGGAUGCCCACGUAAUGUGAUUUCUGCCUAGUGCUCUUAAUGUCAAAGUGAAGAAAUUCAACGAAGUGUAAGUAAAUGGCGAGAGUAACUAUGACUCUUUUAAGGUAGCCAAAUGCCUCGUCAUCUAAUUAAUGACUCGCAUGAAUAGAUUAAUGAGAUUUCCACUGUCCCUAUCUACUAUCCAGUGAAACCAUAGCCAAAGGAAGAGGCUUGGUAGAAUCAACAAGGAAAGAAGACCCUAUUGAGCUUAACUAUAAAUGACUUGAGAGGUGUAAGAUAAGUGGGACCUUCCACCGAAAUUGAAAUACCACUAUAUUUAAUGUGAUUUUACUUUUUUUAUGAAUUGGAGGUAGGGCACGGCCCCUUCUUUUGGACCUAAGGCUAGCCUCAGUUGGUUGAUCUGAGCGAAAAAAAUGUUAAGUGGGGAGUUUGGUUAGGGUGGCACAUCUGUUAAAAGAUAACAUAAGUGUCCUAAGAUGAGUUCAACGAGAAUAAAAUCUCAUACGGAACAAAAGGGUAAAAGCAUGUUUGGUUCUAAUUGUCGAUUCGAAUAUGAACCAUGAAAGCAUGGCCUAUUGAUCUUUUAGACCUAUAGAAUUUGAAGCUAGAGGUGUUAAAAAAGUUACCACGGGAAUAACUAGCUAGUGGUAGCCAAGAUUUCAUAGCAACGUUGCUUUUUGAUCCUUUAAUGUUGGCUUUUCCUAUAAUUGUGAAACAGAAUUCACUAAAUGUUGGAUUGUUCACCCAUCAAUAGGGAAUGUGAGUUUGGUUUAGACCAUUAUGAGACAAGUUAGUUUUACUCCACUGAUGGUAGCAUCACAAUAGUAAUUUGAUGUAGUGCAAGAUGAACUACUGAUUCACACAAUUGGUCAUUGCACUUAGUUGGAAAGCUAAUGGUGGGAAGCUACCAUGCGUUGGAAUAUGACUAAAUGCCUCUAAGUCAGAAUCUAGGCUAGAAACGAUGCAUGCAACCAUUGCUUGAUUGUCAACUUGUAAUAGGGGCCUAUAGCCCCCAAGGGCACAUGUUGUAGGUGUAGCCCUUAUAGUGGACAAGCUACACGAGCCUUCUUAGAGCUCAAUUCCCAUCGAAUGGUGGGUAAAAU